CCUACGGGAGGCAGCAGUGGGGAAUAUUGCACAAUGGGGGAAACCCUGAUGCAGCGACGCCGCGUGAGUGAAGAAGUAUUUCUGUAUGUAAAGCUCCAUCAGCAGGGGAGAAAAUUACGGUACCUGUUUAACAAGCCCCGGCUAACUUCGUGCCAGCAGCCGCGGUAAUAUGUAGGGGGCAAGCGUUAUCCGGAUUUACUGGGUGUAAAGGGGGCGUAGUGGGCUGGACAAGUCUGGAGUGAAAUGCUUGGGCUUAACCCCGGAACUGCUUUGGAAACUGGGCAGCUAGAGUGCAGGUGAGGUAAGCGGAAUGCGUAGUGUAGCGGUGAAAUGCGUAGAUAUUAGGAAGAACACCAGUUGCGAAGGCGGCUUACGGGACCGUAACUGACGUUGAGGCACGAAAGCGUGGGGAGCAAACAGGAUUAGAUACCCGAGUAGUC
RNAcentral lists this ribosomal RNA (440 nucleotides) under uncultured bacterium. RNAcentral describes it as "partial 16S ribosomal RNA". It matches the Rfam family "Bacterial small subunit ribosomal RNA", at positions 338 to 795 of the family's 1533-position model. The record is from RNAcentral.